GCCGGGCGUGGUGGCGCAUGCCUGUAAUCCCAGCUACUUGGGAGGCUGAGGCAGAAGAAUUGCUUGAAUCCGAGAGGUGGAGGUUGCAGUGAGCCGAGAUCGUGCCACUGCACUCCAGCCUGGGUGACAGAGCAAGACUCUGUCUUAA
This 148-nucleotide non-coding RNA is filed under the name Homo sapiens (human). The record is from Rfam by way of RNAcentral. Lineage: Eukaryota; Metazoa; Chordata; Mammalia; Primates; Hominidae.